AUGGGUUUAAUCACACAGUCAGAAUUUACCAAGAUUAAUAAAAUAGUUCCUGCUUGUGAAUUUGUUGUCAAGCUGUGCGGUACCUCUGGCACUGUAUCUUGCUUUGCUGCCUAUUUUGUUUGCAAUACAAUAUUCAGUUCCAUCAGGUUGAUAAUCGGGAACAAAAAUUAUUAUGACGUCAGGAAGCCAUGCGUGGGGAGCCUAUGCUAUGAUUUUUAUAACUUGGAGAAGUUUCUCAAUCUGAAAUCUGUCAGACAGAGCCUAGGCGUUGGAGACAUAGAGUUUGUUUCCUGCAGCCCGACCGUCUAUCAGGCUAUGCUCUUAGAUUGGAUGAGGAACCUUGAAGUUGGGAUCCCUGAACUCCUUGAGAACGAUAUCAAAGUGCUGAUUUAUGCUGGAGAGUAUGAUCUCAUAUGCAACUGGCUAGGAAACUCAAGAUGCGUAGACUCUAUGGAAUGGUCUGGAAAGAAAGCCUUCAUGUCCUCGGUGGAGAAACCCUUCACGGUUGAUGGAAAAGAAGCCGACAUUCUAAAAAGCCACGGCCCUUUGAGUUUUUUUGAAGGUCCACGAUUCUGGUCACAUGGUACCCAUGGAUCAACUGAAGGCCGCCUUGGAGAUGCUCAAGAGGUGGAUGUCAGGAAACCUUUCAGACGCCUCCUCGAGCUCUCAGAGGCUCGACUUCGCCAUAUAAUCCAUCCUUGCGCUGGCUACUAG
RNAcentral lists this ribosomal RNA (714 nucleotides) under Triticum aestivum (bread wheat). RNAcentral describes it as "partial small subunit ribosomal RNA". The record is from RNAcentral. Lineage: Eukaryota; Viridiplantae; Streptophyta; Magnoliopsida; Poales; Poaceae.